AAGUAAGUGUAUUAUAUCUCAUGC
RNAcentral lists this non-coding RNA (24 nucleotides) under Arabidopsis thaliana (thale cress). Lineage: Eukaryota; Viridiplantae; Streptophyta; Magnoliopsida; Brassicales; Brassicaceae. The record is from RNAcentral.